GAUGAACGCUGGCGGCGUGCUUAACACAUGCAAGUCGAGCGAAAAGACGAGGAGCUUGCUCCACUGACGUUAGCGGCGGACGGGUGAGUAACACGUGUAUAACCUACCUAUAAGACUGGGAUAACUUCGGGAAACCGGAGCUAAUACCGGAUAAUAUAUUGAACCGCAUGGUUCAAUAGUGAAAGACGGUUUUGCUGUCUCUUAUAGAUGGAUCCGCGCCGCAUUAGCUAGUUGGUAAGGUAACGGCUUACCAAGGCAACGAUGCGUAGCCGACCUGAGAGGAUGAUCGGCCACACUGGAACUGAGACACGGUCCAGACUCCUACGGGAGGCAGCAGUAGGGAAUCUUCCGCAAUGGGCGAAAGCCUGACCGAGCAACGCCGCGUGAGUGAUGAAGGUCUUCGGAUCGUAAAACUCUGUUAUUAGGGAAGAACAGAUGUGUAAGUAACUAUGCACGUCUUGACGGUACCUGAUCAGAAAGCCACGGCUAACUACGUG
RNAcentral lists this ribosomal RNA (497 nucleotides) under uncultured bacterium. Its description in RNAcentral is "partial 16S ribosomal RNA". It matches the Rfam family "Bacterial small subunit ribosomal RNA", at positions 28 to 507 of the family's 1533-position model. The record is from RNAcentral.